RNAcentral lists this ribosomal RNA (806 nucleotides) under uncultured bacterium. Its description in RNAcentral is "bacterial SSU rRNA". It matches the Rfam family "Bacterial small subunit ribosomal RNA", at positions 8 to 796 of the family's 1533-position model. The record is from RNAcentral.
AGAGUUUGAUCCUGGCUCAGGAUGAACGCUGGCGGCGUGCCUAAUACAUGCAAGUCGAGCGAACAGAUAAGGAGCUUGCUCCUUUGAAGUUAGCGGCGGACGGGUGAGUAACACGUGGGUAACCUACCUAUAAGACUGGGAUAACUUCGGGAAACCGGAGCUAAUACCGGAUAACAUUUAGAACCGCAUGGUUCUAAAGUGAAAGAUGGUUUUGCUAUCACUUAUAGAUGGACCCGCGCCGUAUUAGCUAGUUGGUAAGGUAACGGCUUACCAAGGCGACGAUACGUAGCCGACCUGAGAGGGUGAUCGGCCACACUGGAACUGAGACACGGUCCAGACUCCUACGGGAGGCAGCAGUAGGGAAUCUUCCGCAAUGGGCGAAAGCCUGACGGAGCAACGCCGCGUGAGUGAUGAAGGGUUUCGGCUCGUAAAACUCUGUUAUUAGGGAAGAACAAAUGUGUAAGUAACUGUGCACAUCUUGACGGUACCUAAUCAGAAAGCCACGGCUAACUACGUGCCAGCAGCCGCGGUAAUACGUAGGUGGCAAGCGUUAUCCGGAAUUAUUGGGCGUAAAGCGCGCGUAGGCGGUUUCUUAAGUCUGAUGUGAAAGCCCACGGCUCAACCGUGGAGGGUCAUUGGAAACUGGGAAACUUGAGUGCAGAAGAGGAAAGUGGAAUUCCAUGUGUAGCGGUGAAAUGCGCAGAGAUAUGGAGGAACACCAGUGGCGAAGGCGACUUUCUGGUCUGUAACUGACGCUGAUGUGCGAAAGCGUGGGGAUCAAACAGGAUUAGAUACCCUGGUAGUCC